Molecule: long non-coding RNA, 588 nt
Filed under: Heterocephalus glaber (naked mole-rat)
Lineage: Eukaryota; Metazoa; Chordata; Mammalia; Rodentia; Bathyergidae
Description: lncRNA (ENSHGLG00000044863.1)
Source: RNAcentral
GGUUAAUAUUGAGAGCGUGGAGUCUUUCUUUCCAAAGACACACUUAUGCCUGUGACUUUUCCGGUCCGGUUUCCGGUUUCCUUUAAUUUCCGGGAAAGGCAUUGCUCCCACAAGGCACACAUUGUUUACGCUAUUGUGUGUGUGUGUGUGUGUGUGAGAGAGAGAGAGAGAGAGAGAGAGAGAGAGAGAGAGAGAGAGAGAGAGAGAGAGAGGAGAGAGAGACAGAGAGACAGAGAGAGAUUUUGGGGGUCAAGAAGGUUGGUGAAGUUGUCCCCUGUGGGUCUGGCCACUUUUCAUGUAGAACCAGACACAGGGGUCAGCUCGUGUCUAAGACAAGCAAGGACCGGGAGCAUAACAGAAGGAAGGAAUUUAAUAACGGACAGCGGUGGGACCCAGGAACCUCCGCCUGAGCCCUCUGGCAAGCCUGCACCAGGGAUGGAGCACUGCGCACAGGAGGGCAAAUUUGACCAGAAUCUGAGUCUUCAUUACCCAGGGUGGAGGGUACAAAGUUCAAGCACUUGAUGGAGCCGGAUUCCUGAAGUCAUUUCGAAGGAUAACUUUUCCCUAACUUAAAUGGGGUUCUCUUGU